Molecule: ribosomal RNA, 253 nt
Filed under: uncultured bacterium
Lineage: Bacteria
Description: partial 16S ribosomal RNA
Rfam family: Bacterial small subunit ribosomal RNA
Source: RNAcentral
UACAGAGGGUGCUAGCGUUGUUCGGAAUCAUUGGGCGUAAAGGGCGUGUAGGCGGUUUGUUAAGUCAUGUGUGAAAUCCCUCGGCUCAACCGGGGAACGACGCAUGAAACUGGCAAGCUAGAGUACCAAAGAGGCAAGUGGAAUUCCCGGUGUAGCGGUGAAAUGCGCAGAUAUCGGGAGGAACACCUAUGGCGAAGGCAGCUUGCUGGGACGGUACUGACGCUGAGACGCGAAAGCGUGGGGAGCAAACAGG